Molecule: ribosomal RNA, 253 nt
Filed under: uncultured bacterium
Lineage: Bacteria
Description: partial 16S ribosomal RNA
Rfam family: Bacterial small subunit ribosomal RNA
Source: RNAcentral
UACGAAGGGGGCUAGCGUUGUUCGGAUUUACUGGGCGUAAAGCGCACGUAGGCGGAUCGUUAAGUCGGGGGUGAAAUCCUGGAGCUCAACUCCAGAACUGCCUUCGAUACUGGCGAUCUUGAGUCCGGAAGAGGUGAGUGGAACUCCUAGUGUAGAGGUGAAAUUCGUAGAUAUUGGCUGGAACACCGGUGGCGAAAGCGGCUCUCUGGCCCGGUUCUGACGCUGAGGCGCGAAAGCGUGGGGAGCAAACAGG